AUUGAACGCUGGCGGCAGGCCUAACACAUGCAAGUCGAGCGGAUGAAGGGAGCUUGCUCCUGGAUUCAGCGGCGGACGGGUGAGUAAUGCCUAGGAAUCUGCCUGGUAGUGGGGGAUAACGUCCGGAAACGGGCGCUAAUACCGCAUACGUCCUGAGGGAGAAAGUGGGGGAUCUUCGGACCUCACGCUAUCAGAUGAGCCUAGGUCGGAUUAGCUAGUUGGUGGGGUAAAGGCCUACCAAGGCGACGAUCCGUAACUGGUCUGAGAGGAUGAUCAGUCACACUGGAAGUGAGACACGGUCCAGACGCCUACGGGAGGCAGCAGUGGGGAAUAUUGGACAAUGGGCGAAAGCCUGAUCCAGCCAUGACGCGUGUGUGAAGAAGGUCUUCGGAUUGUAAAGCACUUUAAGUUGGGAGGAAGGGCAGUAAGUUAAUACCUUGCUGUUUUGACGUUACCAACAGAAUAAGCACCGGCUAACUUCGUG
This 484-nucleotide ribosomal RNA is filed under the name uncultured bacterium. RNAcentral's name for it is "partial 16S ribosomal RNA". It matches the Rfam family "Bacterial small subunit ribosomal RNA", at positions 30 to 507 of the family's 1533-position model. The record is from RNAcentral.